Molecule: ribosomal RNA, 253 nt
Filed under: uncultured bacterium
Lineage: Bacteria
Description: partial 16S ribosomal RNA
Rfam family: Bacterial small subunit ribosomal RNA
Source: RNAcentral
UACGAAGGGGGCUAGCGUUGCUCGGAAUUACUGGGCGUAAAGGGCGCGUAGGCGGAUAUUUAAGUUAGAGGUGAAAGCCCAGGGCUCAACCCUGGAAUAGCCUUUAAUACUGGAUAUCUUGAGUUCGGGAGAGGUGAGUGGAACUCCGAGUGUAGAGGUGAAAUUCGUAGAUAUUCGGAAGAACACCAGUGGCGAAGGCGACUCACUGGCCCGAUACUGACGCUGAGGCGCGAAAGCGUGGGGAGCAAACGGG